RNAcentral lists this ribosomal RNA (904 nucleotides) under uncultured bacterium. RNAcentral's name for it is "bacterial SSU rRNA". It matches the Rfam family "Bacterial small subunit ribosomal RNA", at positions 21 to 902 of the family's 1533-position model. The record is from RNAcentral.
GGCUCAGACGAAACGCUGGCGGCGUGCCUAACACAUGCAAGUCGAACGCGAAAGGGGGCAACCCCCGGUAGCGUGGCAGACGGGUGAGUAACACGUGGGUAACCUACCCGGAGGUGGGGGAUAACCCUUCGAAAGGAGGGCUAAUACCGCAUGACACCGCGGGGACCUCGGUCCUCGCGAUCAAAGCUGGCCUCUGUUUACAAGCUAGCGCCACCGGAUGGGCCCGCGCCCCAUUAGCUAGUUGGUGAGGUAACGGCUCACCAAGGCGACGAUGGGUAGCCGGCCUGAGAGGGCGAUCGGCCACACUGGAACUGCGACACGGUCCAGACUCCUACGGGAGGCAGCAGUGAGGAAUAUUGCGCAAUGGGCGAAAGCCUGACGCAGCGACGCCGCGUGGAGGAUGAAGGUCUUCGGAUUGUAAACUCCUGUCGAGUGGGACGAAUGCCGUGAGGGUGAACAAUCCUUGCGGUUGACGGUACCGCUGGAGGAAGCCCCGGCUAACUCCGUGCCAGCAGCCGCGGUAAUACGGAGGGGGCUAGCGUUGUUCGGAAUCAUUGGGCGUAAAGGGCGCGUAGGCGGCCGAUCAAGUCGGAGGUGAAAUCCCUCGGCUCAACUGAGGAAUUGCCUUCGAUACUGUUCGGCUUGAGUCCUGGAGAGGGUAGCGGAAUUCCCGGUGUAGCGGUGAAAUGCGUAGAGACCGGGAAGAACACCAGUGGCGAAGGCGGCUACCUGGACAGGUACUGACGCUGAAGCGCGAAAGCUAGGGGAGCAAACAGGAUUAGAUACCCUGGUAGUCCUAGCUGUAAACGAUGGGCACUUGGUGUUGCGGGUAUCGACCUCUGCAGUGCCGAAGCUAACGCAUUAAGUGCCCCGCCUGGGGAGUACGGUCGCAAGGCUGAAACUU